ACUUAUGAUUUUAAGUGUGAUUUGAAAUCAUGUUAAUUGCUUUUAAUAGCAACAUAGGUU
This 60-nucleotide transfer RNA is filed under the name Taenia laticollis. RNAcentral describes it as "tRNA-Ser (UCN)". Lineage: Eukaryota; Metazoa; Platyhelminthes; Cestoda; Cyclophyllidea; Taeniidae. The record is from RNAcentral.